GUUCCUUCCUUUCAGGUUUUUUUGUCGAAGGCACCUUCAUCAACCAUGAAGGUGCAUUCAUUUAAUUAAGGAGCCUUCAUCAACCAUGAAGGUACCUAUAUGGUUCAUGAUGCCUUUAGCACUGUAGCUCAAAGGUUAGGGAGGGUUUUAAUCUGAUUUUUGAUAGCCAAAGAGAAUGAAAAAGAUCAAGAACAAAUCGAUAAAUCUCUCACACAACUACUGAGAUUAGCCCAUUCCCUUCACUACCACC
Molecule: long non-coding RNA, 250 nt
Filed under: Elaeis guineensis (African oil palm)
Lineage: Eukaryota; Viridiplantae; Streptophyta; Magnoliopsida; Arecales; Arecaceae
Description: long non-coding RNA (EGUI_LNC022665)
Source: RNAcentral